RNAcentral lists this ribosomal RNA (450 nucleotides) under uncultured bacterium. RNAcentral's name for it is "bacterial SSU rRNA". It matches the Rfam family "Bacterial small subunit ribosomal RNA", at positions 28 to 524 of the family's 1533-position model. The record is from RNAcentral.
GACGAACGCUGGCGGCAUGCCUAAUACAUGCAAGUCGAACGAGACCUUCGGGUCUAGUGGCGCACGGGUGCGUAACGCGUGGGAAUCUGCCCUUGGGUUCGGAAUAACUUCGGGAAACUGAAGCUAAUACCGGAUGAUGACGAAAGUCCAAAGAUUUAUCGCCCAGGGAUGAGCCCGCGUAGGAUUAGCUAGUUGGUGGGGUAAAGGCCUACCAAGGCGACGAUCCUUAGCUGGUCUGAGAGGAUGAUCAGCCACACUGGGACUGAGACACGGCCCAGACUCCUACGGGAGGCAGCAGUGGGGAAUAUUGGACAAUGGGCGAAAGCCUGAUCCAGCAAUGCCGCGUGAGUGAUGAAGGCCUUAGGGUUGUAAAGCUCUUUUACCCGGGAUGAUAAUGACAGUACCGGGAGAAUAAGCUCCGGCUAACUCCGUGCCAGCAGCCGCGGUAAU